This 476-nucleotide ribosomal RNA is filed under the name uncultured bacterium. RNAcentral describes it as "bacterial SSU rRNA". It matches the Rfam family "Bacterial small subunit ribosomal RNA", at positions 330 to 798 of the family's 1533-position model. The record is from RNAcentral.
UGCGAACUCCUACGGGAGGCAGCAGUGGGGAAUUUUGGACAAUGGGCGAAAGCCUGAUCCAGCCAUGCCGCGUGUAUGAAGAAGGCCUUAGGGUUGUAAAGUACUUUUGUUAGGGAAGAAAAGGCAUUUGCUAAUAUCAGAUGCUGAUGACGGUACCUAAAGAAUAAGCACCGGCUAACUACGUGCCAGCAGCCGCGGUAAUACGUAGGGUGCGAGCGUUAAUCGGAAUUACUGGGCGUAAAGCGAGCGCAGACGGUUACUUAAGCAGGAUGUGAAAUCCCUGGGCUCAACCUGGGAACUGCGUUCUGAACUGGGUAGCUAGAGUGUGUCAGAGGGAGGUAGAAUUCCACGUGUAGCAGUGAAAUGCGUAGAGAUGUGGAGGAAUACCGAUGGCGAAGGCAGCCUCCUGGGAUAACACUGACGUUCAUGCUCGAAAGCGUGGGUAGCAAACAGGAUUAGAUACCCUUGUAGUCCGA